This 415-nucleotide long non-coding RNA is filed under the name Oncorhynchus kisutch (coho salmon). RNAcentral describes it as "lncRNA (ENSOKIG00005000833.1)". Lineage: Eukaryota; Metazoa; Chordata; Actinopteri; Salmoniformes; Salmonidae. The record is from RNAcentral.
GGCGCUGUGCUGUGUAGACAGAGACAGAAGCUCCACCAGGAUAUAUAGCUAGUCUACUGUAGCUCUGUUACUGUGUAGUGCCUGUAAAGUUGUGGUUGCUCUAUAAGGACAGACAUUACCAUAAUGUAAUGGAUGGAGUGAAGGUCUCCAACUGGGCUCCACCGUACGUCGACUGCUGUUAGACGAGCAACAGCGACAGGGUGCAUCCAAGGAGGGAGUCGCACAGUGAGUCAAAAGACCCCUAGGAGGCAUCUCUGGGUUUGUCAGACACAUCACAACUAAUCCAGACAGUUGCCAAGCCAUGAUGGGAUUUGAAUCAAGCUUCAAAUAGCAGCUGCCACUGCAUAACUGGAACAAAUAGAAGUCAUACAAGCAGAAAAUAACAGGAAACAACAAGAGGUGCCUCAGCUCCAUA